CGCGUGUUGUGUACCUCACAGGCUUAAAUUUGGACUUGAGCUUCAUCUGCACAUAUUUGAGAGCUGUUGCAUAUUUUAUGAUUAAGUCUUCAUAAUUAAUUAUUUUUAAAAAAGAACAUAAAAAAUAUCUAAUAUAAAAUAAUAAAAAUUAAAUAAUAAAAAUUUUAAUAUUUUUUAUAUCAUAUUUAAUGAACUGAUCUAUCAUCCUAAGAU
Molecule: long non-coding RNA, 213 nt
Filed under: Elaeis guineensis (African oil palm)
Lineage: Eukaryota; Viridiplantae; Streptophyta; Magnoliopsida; Arecales; Arecaceae
Description: long non-coding RNA (EGUI_LNC009130)
Source: RNAcentral